AUUGGGUCUAGAGUAGGAAGACCGAUAGCGAACAAGUAGCGUGAGCGAAAGUUUGAAAAGCACUUUGGAAAGAGAGUGACAUAGAACCUGAAGUCGUGACAACGACAAAUGGACGUACCUCCAUUUCAUCGGCCAAAACCGACCUCCAAGCAUUAUCCUCGGUUGACUUUAGCGCAACAGGGGCAACAAGUGCAGAAGCUGAGGUUCCGGUCCAGCGAGCAGGAGUAAAGUUGGGAGCACCUUCACGGGCGAGCCCUUCUUUCUUGUGAGCUCCAUUUUUGGCGCUGGAGAUGGGGUGCCUCCACCCGUCUUGAAACACGGACCAAGGAGUCAAACAGACGCGCAAGGGAGAAGAUAUGUUUUCGAGUACUUCUCUCGUACUGAAAGGGAGCCAGCAAUGGCGUAUGGUGUGCACAAUUUACUUGCUCAACACCGACCGGCCCGUACGCGUUGAGUUCGAGUGUGCCUGUUUGGACCCGAAAGGUGGUGAACUAUGCCUGAACAAGGUGAAGCCCGGGGAAACCCAGGUGGAGGCCUGUAGCGAUACUGACGUGCAAAUCGCUCGCAUGAUUUGGGUAUCGGAGCGAAAGACUCAUCGAACCACCUAGUAGCUGGUUCACAUCGAAGUUUCCCUCAGGAUAGCUGGUGCUUAACUUUUUAUAGUAUUGUGCGGUAAAGCAAAUGAUUAGAGGCAUUGGUGUUCUUGUGAUAUCGACCUAUUCUCAAACUUUAAAUGGCAAAACAACCCGCCUUUGCCUAGUCGGAAGGCGGGAAAGAAAAGAAUUAAGGCACCAAGUGGGCCUUCUUCGGUAAGCGGACAGGCGAUGCGAAUGAACCGUUAGGGAUAUGUGGCGUCCAAACUUUUGGGUCAUUCUCGAUACGUGAAAAGGGUGUUGGUGGAUACGGACAGUUGGACGGUGGCCAUGGAAGUCGCAUCCGCUAAGGAGUGUGUAACAACUCACCAACCAAAUCCACCGGUACCACA
RNAcentral lists this ribosomal RNA (985 nucleotides) under Dimastigella trypaniformis. RNAcentral's name for it is "LSU rRNA". It matches the Rfam family "Eukaryotic large subunit ribosomal RNA", at positions 313 to 1316 of the family's 3401-position model. Lineage: Eukaryota; Euglenozoa; Kinetoplastea; Neobodonida; Rhynchomonadidae. The record is from RNAcentral.